CGGGGGGGAGCAAGCGUUGUUCGGAUUUACUGGGCGUAAAGGGCGCGUAGGCGGCCACCGCAAGUCGACUGUGAAAUCUCCGGGCUUAACCCGGAAAGGUCAGCCGAUACUGCGGGGCUAGAGUGCAGAAGGGGCAACUGGAAUUCUCGGUGUAGCGGUGAAAUGCGUAGAUAUCGAGAGGAACACCUGCGGCGAAGGCGGGUUGCUGGGCUGACACUGACGCUGAUGCGCGAAAGCUAGGGGAGCGAACGGGAUUAGAUACCCCGGUAGUCCUAGCCUUAAACGAUGAAUGCUUGGUGUCUGGGGUUUUAUAGUCCCCGGGUGCCGUCGCUAACGCUUUAAGCAUUCCGCCUGGGGAGUACGGUCGCAAGACUG
RNAcentral lists this ribosomal RNA (375 nucleotides) under uncultured organism. Its description in RNAcentral is "bacterial SSU rRNA". It matches the Rfam family "Bacterial small subunit ribosomal RNA", at positions 525 to 896 of the family's 1533-position model. The record is from RNAcentral.